This 488-nucleotide ribosomal RNA is filed under the name uncultured bacterium. Its description in RNAcentral is "bacterial SSU rRNA". It matches the Rfam family "Bacterial small subunit ribosomal RNA", at positions 27 to 507 of the family's 1533-position model. The record is from RNAcentral.
GGACGAACGCUGGCGGCGUGCCUAAUACAUGCAAGUCGAUCGAUAGAAGUCCAGCUUGCUGGACGGAAAUAGAGGCGAACGGGUGAGUAAUACGUAAGCAACCUGCCCACGAAGGCCGGGAUAAUCCCUGGAAACGGGGGACUAAGACCGGAUAGGUACACAGACCGCAUGGUCUGUGUAUUAAAGGAGAGAGACACUGGUGGAUGGGCUUACGGUGCAUUAGCUGGAUGGUGAGGUAACGGCCCACCAUGGCGAUGAUGCAUAGCCGGGCUGAGAGGCUGAACGGCCACAUUGGGACUGAGACACGGCCCAGACUCCUACGGGAGGCAGCAGUAGGGAAUUUUCGGCAAUGGGGGCAACCCUGACCGAGCAACGCCGCGUGAGUGAUGAAGGUCUUCGGAUUGUAAAGCUCUGUUGUAAGGGAAGAACGGCAUCUAGAGAAUAGGUGAGUGACGGUACCUUACCAGAAAGCUACGGCUAACUACGUG